UCUUAUAAUGCAUUUCGCACUAAAAAGUACGUUUUAUGUGGGGAAAUAACAACCUAUUUUGACUUAAGCAGUUUUACUCCAGAUAAACACAUGGAUAUUUGAGCCUUUGUCGACUUAAGCAGUUAUAGCCAUUUAUAAAGUGCACCGCGUGUAAGUGCGUAUGCAGAAUUAAGCUGUUUUGAGAGAUAAAAAAACGCGAUUUUAGUUGAGCAGAGUGAAACGUUGUGUUUCAAGCAAUUUGUUUAUUGGCUGUUUAUACGUAUUGUUAGCUUUUUUUGUGUUAAAUAUGUGUACGAGAGGCAAGAAAAUAGUUGCCAUGACUUUAAACGUCGAGAAGAGAGACAAGGAUCACGGAAAAGGUAAGGAAUAAUAUUAAGAUAAUAAUUACCGUAAAAUUUUUAGGUUAAGUUUGCAUAGUUUUAUUUUUUUAUUGAAACAUUUUUACUGUAGUUGGCGCAAUUUAAAUUAAAGAUUCGUGAAAAUAUUUUUAUUUUAAAUGCGGAUUAGGUCGUGUUCUAAUAUUUAAACAAAAACAAUGUUUCUAUUGUUUUUUCUAUAACUGCGGUUUAUCUGACUGAAUUUACUUUACAUGAAAAUAUCUUACACACAUUAAAAAACAAGAAACUGCAAUAAAAUUGUAUUAUUUUAAAUAGAUAUGACUUUGCUUGAAGCUGCAGAGACCACAAUACCUAAGGUAAUAGCUGUUGAAAAGUUGUUUGACAUUCCAAAUGGAUCAGGCAACGAUUAUAUUGAAUUUGAGUCUUUAAGAAGCGAUGAACCAGUAACAGAAGAGACUGUUUUAGAAGAAAUUACCCUUGAUAUGCCAAUUAUCAUUACUGAAGUAAAAACUAUGAACAAAAAUAAAUCUGAUCUGACUUAUGGGGUAUCAGAAUUUCAAGAUUAUUAUGAAAACAGAAUCUUUGUUGAACAGC
Anthonomus grandis grandis is the source of this 932-nucleotide long non-coding RNA. RefSeq lists it as uncharacterized. NCBI's taxonomy places the organism in Eukaryota, Metazoa, Arthropoda, Insecta, Coleoptera, Curculionidae. The record is from RefSeq and is a predicted model, not a curated record. The transcript is spliced from 3 exons.